This 623-nucleotide ribosomal RNA is filed under the name uncultured bacterium. Its description in RNAcentral is "bacterial SSU rRNA". It matches the Rfam family "Bacterial small subunit ribosomal RNA", at positions 248 to 884 of the family's 1533-position model. The record is from RNAcentral.
GUUGGUGAGGUAACGGCCCACCAAGGCUUCGACGGGUAGCUGGUCUGAGAGGACGAUCAGCCACACUGGGACUGAGACACGGCCCAGACUCCUACGGGAGGCAGCAGUGGGGAAUCUUGCGCAAUGGGCGAAAGCCUGACGCAGCAACGCCGCGUGAGGGAUGGAGGCCUUCGGGUUGUAAACCUCUUUCAGUAGGGACGAUUGUGACGGUACCUGCAGAAGAAGCCCCGGCCAACUACGUGCCAGCAGCCGCGGUAAUACGUAGGGGGCGAGCGUUGUCCGGAAUUAUUGGGCGUAAAGAGCUCGUAGGCGGCUUGGUAAGUCGGGUGUGAAACCUCCAGGCUCAACUUGGAGAUGCCACCCGAUACUGCCAUGGCUAGAGUCCGGUAGGGGCCCACGGAAUUCCUGGUGUAGCGGUGAAAUGCGCAGAUAUCAGGAGGAACACCGGUGGCGAAGGCGGUGGGCUGGGCCGGAACUGACGCUGAGGAGCGAAAGCGUGGGGAGCGAACAGGAUUAGAUACCCUGGUAGUCCACGCCGUAAACGUUGGGCACUAGGUGUGGGGGAUUAUCAACGUCCUCCGUGCCGUAGCUAACGCAUUAAGUGCCCCGCCUGGGGGAGUACA